UACGGAGGGUGCAAGCGUUAUCCGGAUUCACUGGGUUUAAAGGGUGCGUAGGUGGGCAGUUAAGUCAGUGGUGAAAUCUCCGGGCUUAACCCGGAAACUGCCAUUGAUACUAUCUGUCUUGAAUACCGUGGAGGUGAGCGGAAUAUGUCAUGUAGCGGUGAAAUGCUUAGAUAUGACAUAGAACACCAAUUGCGAAGGCAGCUCACUACACGAAUAUUGACACUGAGGCACGAAAGCGUGGGGAUCAAACAGG
RNAcentral lists this ribosomal RNA (253 nucleotides) under uncultured bacterium. RNAcentral describes it as "partial 16S ribosomal RNA". It matches the Rfam family "Bacterial small subunit ribosomal RNA", at positions 524 to 776 of the family's 1533-position model. The record is from RNAcentral.